This 72-nucleotide transfer RNA is filed under the name Bos taurus (domestic cattle). It matches the Rfam family "tRNA". From Rfam's summary of the family: Transfer RNA (tRNA) molecules are approximately 80 nucleotides in length. Their secondary structure includes four short double-helical elements and three loops (D, anti-codon, and T loops). The record is from Rfam by way of RNAcentral. RNAcentral also lists the same sequence under 5 other names. Lineage: Eukaryota; Metazoa; Chordata; Mammalia; Artiodactyla; Bovidae.
UCCCUAGUGGCUCAGAUGGUAAAGUGUCUGUCUGCAAUGCAGGAGACCUGGGUUCGAUCCCUGGGUUGGGAA